Molecule: ribosomal RNA, 194 nt
Filed under: Steganotaenia araliacea
Lineage: Eukaryota; Viridiplantae; Streptophyta; Magnoliopsida; Apiales; Apiaceae
Description: 5.8S ribosomal RNA
Rfam family: 5.8S ribosomal RNA (bases 21-176)
About the family: 5.8S ribosomal RNA (5.8S rRNA) is a component of the large subunit of the eukaryotic ribosome.
Source: RNAcentral
CGUCGCUCCGAAACACAUACGACUCUCGACAACGGAUAUCUCGGCUCUCGCAUCGAUGAAGAACGUAGCGAAAUGCGAUACUUGGUGUGAAUUGCAGAAUCCCGUGAACCAUCGAGUCUUUGAACGCAAGUUGCGCCCGAAGCCAUCAGGCCGAGGGCACGUCUGCCUGGGCGUCACGCAUCGCGUUGCCCCUU